AGCAGCCGCGGUAAUUCCAGCUCCAAUAGCGUAUAUUAAAGUUGUUGCAGUUAAAAAGCUCGUAGUUGAAUUUCGGGAUCAAUUUGCUGGUCGUGCCUCUGGUACGUACUGGUAUUAUUGGUUUCUCCCUUCUGACGAACCAUGAUGUCAUUAAUUUGAUGUCGUGGAGAAUCAGGACUGUUACUUUGAAAAAUUAGAGUGUUUAAAGCAGGCAUUAGCUUGAAUACAUUAGCAUGGAAUAAUGAAAUAGGACGUUUGAUCCUAUUUUGUUGGUUUCUAGGAUUGACGUAAUGAUUAAUAGGGAUAGUUGGGGGCAUUAGUAUUCAAUUGUCAGAGGUGAAAUUCUUGGAUUUAUUGAAGACUAACUACUGCGAAAGCAUUUGCCAAGGAUGUUUUCAUUAAUCAAGAACGAAAGUUAGGGGAUCGAAGACGAUCAGAUACCGUCGUAGUCUUAACCAUAAACUAUGCCGAC
RNAcentral lists this ribosomal RNA (472 nucleotides) under uncultured Glomus. RNAcentral describes it as "SSU rRNA". It matches the Rfam family "Eukaryotic small subunit ribosomal RNA", at positions 569 to 1046 of the family's 1831-position model. The record is from RNAcentral. Lineage: Eukaryota; Fungi; Glomeromycota; Glomeromycetes; Glomerales; Glomeraceae.